AGCGAACGUUAGCGGCGGGCCUAACACAUGCAAGUCGAACGCGAAAGGUCUUCGGACUGAGUAGAGUGGCGCACGGGUGAGUAACACGUAGGUAAUCUACCCUUUGGCGGGGAUAACGUUCCGAAAGGAGCGCUAAUACCGCAUAAGACCACGGAGUCUCCGGACGCUGUGGGAAAAGGUGGCCUCUUCUUGAAAGCUACCACCGAAGGAUGAGCCUGCGUCCCAUCAGCUAGUUGGUAAGGUAAUGGCUUACCAAGGCGAAGACGGGUAGCUGGUCUGAGAGGAUGAUCAGCCACACGGGCACUGAGACACGGGCCCGACUCCUACGGGAGGCAGCAGUAGGGAAUAUUGGACAAUGGGCGCAAGCCUGAUCCAGCCAUCCCGCGUGAAGGAUUAAGGCCCUCUGGGUUGUAAACUUCUUUUCUUUGGGAAUAAAAACUCCGUUUCUACGGAGCUUGAAGGUACCAGAGGAAUAAGCACCGGCUAACUCCGUGCCAGCAGCCGCGGUAAU
RNAcentral lists this ribosomal RNA (511 nucleotides) under uncultured bacterium. RNAcentral describes it as "bacterial SSU rRNA". It matches the Rfam family "Bacterial small subunit ribosomal RNA", at positions 29 to 524 of the family's 1533-position model. The record is from RNAcentral.